GUGUCAGCAGCCGCGGUAAUACGGGAGUGGCAAGCGUUAUCCGGAAUUAUUGGGCGUAAAGCGUCCGCAGGCGGUUUUACAAGUCUGUCGUUAAAACGUGGAGCUCAACUCCAUUUCGGCGAUGGAAACUGUAAGACUAGAGUGUGGUAGGGGCAGAGGGAAUUCCCGGUGUAGCGGUGAAAUGCGUAGAUAUCGGGAAGAACACCAGUGGCGAAGGCGCUCUGCUGGGCCAUAACUGACGCUCAUGGACGAAAGCCAGGGGAGCGAAAGGGAUUAGAUACCCCUGUAGUCCUGGCCGUAAACGAUGAACACUAGGUGUCGGGGGAAUCGACCCCCUCGGUGUCGUAGCCAACGCGUUAAGUGUUCCGCCUGGGGAGUACGCACGCAAGUGUGAAACUUAAAUGAAUUGACGGGG
Molecule: ribosomal RNA, 415 nt
Filed under: uncultured prokaryote
Description: bacterial SSU rRNA
Rfam family: Bacterial small subunit ribosomal RNA
Source: RNAcentral